This 239-nucleotide unclassified non-coding RNA is filed under the name uncultured fungus. RNAcentral describes it as "partial contains 5.8S ribosomal RNA, internal transcribed spacer 2, and large subunit ribosomal RNA". The stretch from base 1 to 52 matches the Rfam family "5.8S ribosomal RNA", at positions 103 to 154 of the family's 154-position model. The record is from RNAcentral. Lineage: Eukaryota; Fungi.
AACGCACAUUGCGCCCCUUGGUAUUCCGAGGGGCACGCCUGUUCGAGCGUCAUUUAAACCAUCAAGCACAGCUUGGUAUUGGACCCGGUCGAGUGACCCGUCCGUAACCCGUUGGCGGGUGCAGUCCGGCUUCAAGCGUAGCAAAAUUCUCGCUUCAGGAGUCCGUACGGUACCCGCCAGGUAAUGGCCACCUUUUAAAGUUUGACCUCGGAUCAGGUGGGGAUACCCGCCCAACUUAA